Long non-coding RNA from Ylistrum balloti, 527 nucleotides. RefSeq lists it as uncharacterized. The record is from RefSeq and is a predicted model, not a curated record. The transcript is spliced from 3 exons. NCBI's taxonomy places the organism in Eukaryota, Metazoa, Mollusca, Bivalvia, Pectinida, Pectinidae.
UGUACGCCUACACAUCUGUCGGUAAAGGGACGGAAUCAUCUAAUAGCACCAACACCAGUCAAGACAUACCACACAAGAUUACAGAUUUAAAAACUUACAAUACAACAUCAUCUACAAUAACAAUUUCGUUUAACGAACCACAACCAAGCACUGGUCCAAUAACGCAAUACGAUAUACAGUACGUGUACCAGGAACGAGUCUGUAACAAUGGUUUGAGGUCAGGUCAGAAUACCAUAACAAACCAUACCAAGUGUACGCCCUCUAGUGAUCGUCCGACUGUCUGCUCUCUAGACAAUCUCUAUCCCUACUGGAACUAUAAUAUAAGUGUGAGGGCAUACACCAUAAAAGGACCCGGUGACUUGAGCGACCCUAUAGUAAGCCAGACAGCCGAGGACAAGCCGAGUCCUAUAAAUAACCUCCAUCACACCAAGGUCACAGCUUACAGUGUAACUCUGGAGUGGUCCGCGCCUUGUCCCCCUAAUGGCAUUAUCCAGGAAUACGUCAUACGCUGGAACAACAUGGAUAUC